GAUGAACGCUGGCGGCGUGCUUAACACAUGCAAGUCGAACGAUGAAGCCCAGCUUGCUGGGUGGAUUAGUGGCGAACGGGUGAGUAACACGUGAGUAACCUGCCCUUAACUCUGGGAUAAGCCUGGGAAACUGGGUCUAAUACCGGAUAGGAGCGUCCACCGCAUGGUGGGUGUUGGAAAGAUUUAUCGGUUUUGGAUGGACUCGCGGCCUAUCAGCUUGUUGGUGAGGUAAUGGCUCACCAAGGCGACGACGGGUAGCCGGCCUGAGAGGGUGACCGGCCACACUGGGACUGAGACACGGCCCAGACUCCUACGGGAGGCAGCAGUGGGGAAUAUUGCACAAUGGGCGCAAGCCUGAUGCAGCGACGCCGCGUGAGGGAUGACGGCCUUCGGGUUGUAAACCUCUUUCAGUAGGGAAGAAGCGAAAGUGACGGUACCUGCAGAAGUAGCACCGGCUAACUACGUG
RNAcentral lists this ribosomal RNA (466 nucleotides) under uncultured bacterium. RNAcentral describes it as "partial 16S ribosomal RNA". It matches the Rfam family "Bacterial small subunit ribosomal RNA", at positions 28 to 507 of the family's 1533-position model. The record is from RNAcentral.